This 406-nucleotide ribosomal RNA is filed under the name uncultured bacterium. RNAcentral's name for it is "partial 16S ribosomal RNA". It matches the Rfam family "Bacterial small subunit ribosomal RNA", at positions 30 to 526 of the family's 1533-position model. The record is from RNAcentral.
AUUGAACGCUGGCGGCAGGCUUAACACAUGCAAGUCGAACGAGUGGCGGACGGGUGAGUAAGGCAUGGGCAUCUAGCUUAUGGAGGGGGAUAACUACGGGAAACUGUAGCUAAUACCGUGUACCACAGGAUGGGCCCAAGUGGGAUUAGGUAGUUGGUGUGGUAAAGGCUCACCAAGCCGACGAUCUCUAGCUGGUCUGAGAGGAUGAUCGGCCACACUGGGACUGAGACACGGCCCAGACUCCUACGGGAGGCAGCAGUGGGGAAUAUUGCACAAUGGGCGAAAGUCUGAUGCAGCCAUGCCGCGUGUAUGAAGAAGGCCCUAGGGUUGUAAAGUACUUUCAGUCGGGAGGCGGUACCGACAGAAGAAGCACCAGCUAACUCCGUGCCAGCAGCCGCGGUAAUUC